CAGGAGCUUUCUGAAAAAGCUGUCUGAAAAGCUUGGAUUCAUGUAUUGUACUAAAGCUUUACAAGAUGGUGAGAAUCUCUUCAUGCACUAAGGAACCACUCUUUGUAUUGAAAAAAAUCUAGAUUUUUAACUCAAGCUGUGUUCUUUUUGUAUGUCACAGCUUCUGUGAGCUUAUAGUAAGCAUUUGAGAAGCACAGUUCACUUGGAUUUCUGGAGAAGACUGAUGACAAAUGGAGUACAGCUAGUAUUAACUAUGAAGCACCCCACAGAAUACUCAAGGCAUUGUGCUUCACCUAUGGAUCAGAAAGAUGUGGAUGGAAAUAGCUGAUCUUUCCUCCUUCCUGACCUGUGGAAUGCUAUUAUAAAUUACUGCUGAGCAAGCAUUGAUCUUUAUAAAGUGUGGACUACCUGAGGCGCUCUUGCCCUAGAAAAGAAGGGGGAAUGAGAUCCGUAUGGACGCCAUUGCCUCCUGGAAUGGCUGAGAUGCAGGCUUUAUAAGUUAACCUAGCCUGUUUAAUAUGUUUACUGCCCUCUGCAUGCAUUCUACCUUUAUCUAAGGAACUUAGUCCUUUUUUGAGUUACCCUCAUGUGACAGACCUCCAGCCUUCUCUUAUGAUAACCAGUUGAAAAGCUUCAAUUGUUCUGUUGCACUGCAGAAAAUACAGCAUUUUUUAAACAUAGCAUCUUAUUCUUAAUUGAGCUUUGUAUAUUCCAUACACAAUAAAUGUCUAAAGCUGUAUUGCA
This 744-nucleotide long non-coding RNA is filed under the name Apteryx owenii (little spotted kiwi). Its description in RNAcentral is "lncRNA (ENSAOWG00000019134.1)". The record is from RNAcentral. Lineage: Eukaryota; Metazoa; Chordata; Aves; Apterygiformes; Apterygidae.